GCUCCUUGCAGCCCUUCUGGCAGGGCAGCACCACAAGCAUACGGGUCGCUGCUGCCUGCGCUGCUGCCUGCGCUGCUGCCUGCGCUGGUAGAGAGAAACAAGAACACGGAGCAGCUGGAGCAAGAACCCCAGUUUUAGCCCUGUUAGCAAGUAAUUUCUCUCUAUGUUUAAUCAAGAUAGCAAGCGGUGGUGAUGAAAAGGACAUUUUCCUCUGCGUGCAUGGAUUUUAUCAGCGUUUCUUUGAACAUCUUAGGGGCCAAAAGCAAACAAAACGUAAGCCACCCACAUGAGAAGAGUUCAAUAUGUUUCUCUGCUGCACAGCUUGGCUUAGGUACAUGGACAUCUGAUGUGGACGCGACCACCACCUGGAUUUCGAAGCUGUUUGAAAUACGAGCGUGUCUGGGUUUGAAUUUCACAAAUAAAGCAGCCGUGGACAAGGCUUGUUGCUGGUGCUGAUGACCACGUUCGCUAGAACUAAACUGAAAGAUUUGGUUGCAAACUAACAAAUGGGCAGACCAGUCACCUGCUGGUCGCUGCACCAUCCCAGCCCCAGCUCCUGUGGAAGCCCUGCUGAGAGGGCUCAGACUGCCCAGGGAAAAUGAAUGCUGCCCCUUACCAUGGCCCCCAUGCUUAACCUGUGCCCUGAGCCCUUCCCUGCACUGGGGGCUUCCCGCAGAAACCCCGGCUUCCCGGAGCUCUGCACGCCCCUGCCUCAUCUUUCCAGAUAAACUGUGGCAAAAUCUGAAGCUGUGGCAGAAUCUGAAGCCAAGGCAGAGUCUGGAGCUGCCCGCCCAGCUGAAAGGCGGCAUGGUGCAGGGCACUGGUCUGGCCAGCACAAAAUAGACUUAUUUCAUGACAGCGACGGUUCUGAUCCACGUGCGUGUCCGGGCCCGAGUGUCCUAACCCUGAGCAUGGCCCACAAGUCCGUAUUUCAUAGCAGGGACACAAGUGUGAAAAAAUAAUCAUGAAAUGCCACUAGAAUAACCGCAUCAGAUCCAGCCCCUCGAGCUGCAUCUGUUACGCUUUAUUUCUCAAAAUGCUGAAACAAGAGAUCCAGGUACUGUUCUCCGCAAUGGCUAUUUGCCAGAUUGGCUCCAGUUGCCCCUGACAGCAUGACCAAUGCAAGCACACAGUCCUACGUUGCGCUCGCCUUGCAAGCGCGCAGCAGCAGCCGCGUCGAGGUCGCCCUUUGGGGCGCCCGUGGCCGAAGCGGUGCCUGGCGGAGGGGCUGCGCCGGGCUCUGGGGACAGGCAGCCCUGGCUGCCAUUCGCAGCAGGAGCAGUCCCUGCAGUUGGGGCUGCGAGGCCCGGGGGGGCUGUGGGCGAUGCCCCCACCCCAGGGGAGGAGCAGCCUCUGCCACCCUGCACUCCCCCAAGCGCCUGACGGAGCCCAGUUCCAGCGAGUGCUCAAAACUGGAGGAAAAGAAAGGGUGAAAGCGUGAGUGUUGCACACAGCCGUGUCAACCCUCCUCCAGCCUUCCUGGAAGCCCACCGGAGUUCACCCCUCAGCCCAAGCCUGGCACAUGUUGUCUGAUGGGCCCAGGCCGUGCACCAGGGUGCUGCGGGUGCGGA
Egretta garzetta (little egret) is the source of this 1571-nucleotide long non-coding RNA. RefSeq lists it as uncharacterized. The record is from RefSeq and is a predicted model, not a curated record. NCBI's taxonomy places the organism in Eukaryota, Metazoa, Chordata, Aves, Pelecaniformes, Ardeidae. The transcript is spliced from 3 exons.